AUGAACGCUGGCGGCGUGCUUAACACAUGCAAGUCGAACGGUGAAGCCAAGCUUGCUUGGUGGAUCAGUGGCGAACGGGUGAGUAACACGUGAGCAACCUGCCCUGGACUCUGGGAUAAGCGCUGGAAACGGCGUCUAAUACUGGAUAUGAGCCUCUUCCGCAUGGUGGGGGUUGGAAAGAUUUUUUGGUCUGGGAUGGGCUCGCGGCCUAUCAGCUUGUUGGUGAGGUAAUGGCUCACCAAGGCGUCGACGGGUAGCGGGCCUGAGAGGGUGACCGGCCACACUGGGACUGAGACACGGCCCAGACUCCUACGGGAGGCAGCAGUGGGGAAUAUUGCACAAUGGGCGAAAGCCUGAUGCAGCAACGCCGCGUGAGGGAUGACGGCCUUCGGGUUGUAAACCUCUUUUAGCAGGGAAGAAGCGAAAGUGACGGUACCUGCAGAAAAAGCGCCGGCUAACUACGUGC
RNAcentral lists this ribosomal RNA (466 nucleotides) under uncultured bacterium. RNAcentral's name for it is "partial 16S ribosomal RNA". It matches the Rfam family "Bacterial small subunit ribosomal RNA", at positions 29 to 508 of the family's 1533-position model. The record is from RNAcentral.